UUGGGGUGAGGUAGUAGGUUGUAUAGUUUUAGGGUUGAGCCCUUGCUGUGAGAUAACUAUACAACUUACUGUCUUUCCUGA
RNAcentral lists this microRNA precursor (81 nucleotides) under Astyanax mexicanus (Mexican tetra). RNAcentral describes it as "let-7 microRNA precursor family". It matches the Rfam family "let-7 microRNA precursor family". Rfam says of the family: This family represents the microRNAs (miRNA) let-7 and mir-98. let-7 was identified from a study of developmental timing in C. elegans, and was later shown to be part of a much larger class of non-coding RNAs termed miRNAs. The record is from Rfam by way of RNAcentral. Lineage: Eukaryota; Metazoa; Chordata; Actinopteri; Characiformes; Acestrorhamphidae.